CAAAGGCUUGGUCCUGACUUUACUAUCAGCCCUAACCGGACUUACACAUGCAAGUAUCCGCCCCCCUGUGAGAAUGCCCUCAAAACCUCUGCCCGAGAACGAGGAGCCGGCAUCAGGCGCGCCCCGCAGCCCAAGACGCCUUGCUAAGCCACACCCCUAAGGGAACUCAGCAGUGAUAAGUAUUAAGCCAUGAGCGAAAGCUUGACUUAGUUAAAGUUCAAAAAGGGCCGGUAAAACUCGUGCCAGCCACCGCGGUUAUACGAGAGACCCAAGUUGACAGGUGCCGGCGUAAAGGGUGGUUAAGGACAAAAAUUACUAAAGCCGAACAUCCCCUUGGCUGUUAUACGCACCCGGAGGAUUGAAGCCCCACCGCGAAAGCGGCUUUAAUUUGCCUGAACCCACGACAGCUAAGAAACAAACUGGGAUUAGAUACCCCACUAUGCUUAGCUAUAAACUUUAGUACUAAAAUACAAUUAGUGCUCGCCAGGGAACUACAAGCGCUAGCUUGAAACCCAAAGGACUUGGCGGUACUUCAGACCCACCUAGAGGAGCCUGUUCUAGAACCGAUGACCCCCGUUCAACCUCACCACCCCUUGUUAUCCCCGCCUAUAUACCGCCGUCGUCAGCUUACCCUGUAAAGGUCUUAUAGUAAGCAAAAUGGGCAAACCCCAAAACGUCAGGUCGAGGUGUAGCGCAUGAGGUGGAAAGAAAUGGGCUACAUUCCCUAACCUAGGGAACCACGGACGGCGCUAUGAAAGCUAGCGCCCGAAGGUGGAUUUAGCAGUAAGAAGGAACUAGAGCGUUCUUCUGAAGCCGGCUCUGAGGUGCGUACACACCGCCCGUCACUCUCCCCGAACCUUCUACCCCAAGUUUCUAAAAAAAGUGUCCCACCAAGGGGAGGCAAGUCGUAACAUGGUAAGUGUACUGGAAAGUGCACUUGGACUAAC
RNAcentral lists this non-coding RNA (947 nucleotides) under Astronesthes lucifer (Pacific snaggletooth). RNAcentral's name for it is "12S rRNA". It matches the Rfam family "Bacterial small subunit ribosomal RNA". The record is from RNAcentral. Lineage: Eukaryota; Metazoa; Chordata; Actinopteri; Stomiiformes; Stomiidae.